CGAAGGUUAUAACCAUCUUUCGGCGCCGCACUGUACUAAACUAACUAAAGUGGGGGAUAGUGAGGGGAUAAAUUUCCUUAAGGAACUCGGCAAAAUCCCAAUGGCCCACCAGGGCAUAUAUUGGAACACGGGCCUCGACUGUUUACCAAAAACAUAGCCCUCGGCCAAUAUGAAAAUAGAAGUAUGGAGGGUGAGGCCUGCCCAAUGGUUGUAUCUAAAAGCGGUUGAUAAAAGUCGACCGUGUAAGGACAAUUGAAUGGCCGCGGUAACACUGACCGUGAUAAUGUAGCGUAAUCAAUAGCCAAUUAAUUGUUGGCCAGUAUGAAUGGCGCCACGAAGGCCCCACUGUCUUAAGGAAAUUCCCAGUGAAAUUGAAUUCGUAGUGAAGAUGCUACGUCCAAUUUGUUAGACGAAAAGACCCCGUUGAGCUUUACUGGGGCACUUACACGGCCCCGGCCUUCAAAACUGGGUUGAUAAGCCAAGGCUUACCAUACCUAGGGACCGGCCGAAUUUAAAUGGGCGGCUUAGACUAUGUGGCAGCCCCCCCCGUCGGGGCAGAUGAAAACCCACUCCCCCAUGUCAAAGGGGCUAACCCCCCCCCUUGGGGGGGACAGUGUAAGUAGGACAGUUUGGUUGGGGCGACCGCCUUUUAGAGAGUAACGAAGGUGCGCUUAAGGUGCGUAAUUAAUGACUGAAGCCUGACUGCGAGGGGGACACCCCGAGCAGACACCCCCAAGCCCGCCCUCGCCUUCGUACCAACGGAGGGAGGGCGGCGGUGGGGUGGGCCAUAGUGACCCGUUAAUUUAGAGUGGAAUAGUUAACGAUCAACGAAUAAAAGUUACCACGGGGAUAACAGCGUAAUAUCGUUAGAGAGUUCACAUCGACGACGAUGU
RNAcentral lists this ribosomal RNA (893 nucleotides) under Parazoanthus sp. 1401. RNAcentral describes it as "partial 16S ribosomal RNA". It matches the Rfam family "Bacterial large subunit ribosomal RNA", at positions 1613 to 2517 of the family's 2925-position model. Lineage: Eukaryota; Metazoa; Cnidaria; Anthozoa; Zoantharia; Parazoanthidae. The record is from RNAcentral.